Molecule: ribosomal RNA, 253 nt
Filed under: uncultured bacterium
Lineage: Bacteria
Description: partial 16S ribosomal RNA
Rfam family: Bacterial small subunit ribosomal RNA
Source: RNAcentral
UACGUAGGGUGCGAGCGUUAAUCGGAAUUACUGGGCGUAAAGCGCGCGUAGGCGGCUAGAUCAGUCUGCUGUAAAAGUCAAAGGCUCAACCUUUGAAAGCCGGUGGAUACUGUCUAGCUAGAGUCCGGAAGAGGCGAGUGGAAUUCCUGGUGUAGCGGUGGAAUGCGCAGAUAUCAGGAGGAACACCAACGGCGAAGGCAGCUCGCUGGGACGGUACUGACGCUAAGGCGCGAAAGCGUGGGGAGCGAACAGG